CUAACGCGAACCAAGUUCGACGUGUUGCCUCUCUGACGCACUUGUAAAUUCGUAUGUAAGUGUGACAGGGAGGCAACACUUCGCGGUAGGCCCUCUGAUCGGCUCGCUGGUUGUGCGACCUUCAUGUCAUGUUUAAAUGGUUGUUGUGGAAAUAAAAAUGUUUUUGUAACGAUUUGUUGCGUUGAGUUGAGCCCCUACUUAUUGUGAAAAUAGAGUUAGAAAUGUGACGUUUCAAACAAAAGUAACCACUUUUUUGAGGUUAUCUUUUGAAACCUGUUUUUUUUGGGAGUUCAAUUGGGCAUGGGUCGAUAUAUCGUACCGAUAAAGACCACUGGAAUAAAAUAUGAUAGUUUAAGGCAAUAAUUAGAUUAAAGGCACUUAACAAUUAUUAUAAUAUGCAUAACUUAGACCAAAUUAUUACUUUUACGUGCUUUAUCGUAGUUUUAAUUACAAUCUAAGCCAAAUAUUGAUUUUAUUGUUAUCGUAAGUUAGGUUAGACGCUGUUUACGUAAAAGUAUUAGGAGACGGAGUCGCGCCAAGUAUUUAUUUAGUUUGCUCCGACACGACAGUAAAUAUUUAUACAGUUUUGAACCUUACGUCUUUGUAAUUAAGGUGUAUAAAUAUUUAUGAUCGUGACUGUAUACCCGAAACUAGCGCUAGCGAAUAUCUGCCGACAUUUCUAUUUGAAAAUAAAUAGCAUUCGACAUAUAGUACGCAUAAUAGUUGUAUAAGAGAGAUGUAAUUUUUUCUAGAACUAUUUUCUAAAGGCAAUUGUAGAAUACUUUUGUAUUUUUUCAAGAAAAUUAGCAAAGCAAUAUAUUUGAUACAAAUUAUUUGAAAAAUCUAGCCAGAUGUAGUGAAAUAUAUAUGUAAAUCAGAAAAUAUAAAUUUGUUUACAUACACCUGAAA
Molecule: long non-coding RNA, 909 nt
Organism: Cydia splendana
Lineage: Eukaryota; Metazoa; Arthropoda; Insecta; Lepidoptera; Tortricidae
Exons: 2
Source: RefSeq, a predicted model, not a curated record